AUAGCUGACCUAAAAACCAUGGCAACAAUAAAACUCUUAUGUAACCCUGACACGGCUCAAAGAAAUCAGCAGAUUUUCCGCCUGGCUUUGGUGUUUGGUUAGACAGUUUUGAAGCAGACAGGCAGCAUUGCAUCUAACAAAUUUUCCAUUUGGUAGUGGCAUUUGAUGGUGUUUGAUCUUCCCUAACAAGCAGCUAAACCAAAAUGUUAGGUUGGUGUACUUUCCUGAGUUUGGUUUAAAGAAAAUUUCCCACUUUUCACACUGGUUCUUUGAUUUCUUUAUAUAAAGCUACACAAAGUCAUAGGCCAGUGAAAAUUGUUUUAACGAAGAGUACUGCUGUGUUUUGAAUGUUGGUGCUUCAUAGAGCUUGCUGAAAACAUCUGGAAGAUUCCUCUUCAUCAAAAUUGCCUCUCAGUAAAGAGUCUUCAUUCUUCUGAUCCAGAUCACUCACAGUCAACACCUACAAUCAGAUGUGUUUUAAAUAUGAAGCCUAACACCAGGGACAGACUGGCCAUCGAGAGCACCGGGACAUUUCCCAGUGGCCUGAUGGUUGUUCUGGCCUGCCACCGCUAGGAAUGAAUCUACGGACCACUCAGUCUACGAAUCAGGAAAUCGCGGAGUGAAAAUGACAUCACCACAUGACCCAACUUCAGCAACACACUGCCUAAUUUGCUAUUUCCAGAAGCAGGUAGUCACUCAGGGAGCCAGGGGUGCAGGAGUAAGGCGUGUUGGUGCAGCAAGACAUUUCCAAAAACAGUGUUCCAUCAUUGGAGUGAGAACAUUGAGUACAUCCCUAAUCUCCAAUUCUCUGAUCACGCUGGGGUGUACAAAAUAUCUGUAAAGGGAGUACAUACCUGAGUACAUCAUGCACUGGUGGAUUCAGGCUGUAAUCAAAUCUCAAUCCACAAACUCCAGAGUCACAGCAAGCGAUUGGACAGGGCACUAAGGUUGACGGUGAGGUGUGUGCACAGGUACAUUCACAAGUAUCUGCAGGUGCCUAUUCAUAUUUAUUUCUUGGGUCAAAACCAUAGUGUGGAGGAAGAGAUUAAUCCUCUUCUCAUACAUCCGCUGAUACUUGUAUGAAUUGGUCAGAUUUUUGGAUAUUAGUAAAAGGACUAUUUGUGGACGGGUCCAGCAGUAGCAAAAAACACUAUGUGAAACAUGUCUCUUUCUGACUAGGGAGGCAGUGCCAGAAUCAUUAAUGUCAGUACCAUGUAAGACACCUUGAAGCAAACUGUUGACCAAGUAAAAGUAAUUGACAGUCAUUCCAUCAAGCGUCAAGAGUGAUAUUCAGCUUAAAACCUGUACCAAAUCAAAUAUAUGGAUCAGAGGAUCUGCUGUAGUGAGCCCUAAUAGAAGCAACUGAAGGAAAGCAGUAUUUCUGUAUGCCUCAUCAUAACCAUAUAGCUGGGCAUCUAGUUUCUUGAAAAUGUUCACCUUCGGACAAGGCUACACUCCAGUGGUUCCACCACAUGAAAUAUGCCAACACACUGAUCACACAUCAUUGGUAUCUUGGCCAUUUAAGUUCAGUAACAGUCCACAGGUUGGGGGUGCAAAUGGUGGUGGCAGAUUUCCUCUCUUGCCAGGGAGGGAAGCCCAGAUGGAUACCCAGCCAAGCUUUAGGCAGUGGGGUUAUAUGGUGGCAGGGAUGUGGAUAAAUAACAUUUUUGUGAAUGAAUGGGGAUGUCCAAGAGAAGAGGUGAGUAAUUCCAGGAAUCAGCAUGCAACUGUGGAUUCUUUUUGUUUGGUCCAGGAGGAUAGAAAAAUUUGAAAGCACAUGGAACAAGCAGAACUUGUGUGUUUGUGUGUGUGUGUUUUUCCCUGAAUCUGGUGCUGAAAAGACCCCAGUAAACAGAGCGAGAUAAUAAAAGAAAAAAGUCAAGUCAUGCUAUCUAAAGCCUGCCUCCUGUGUCCUAAUUUAUUGACAGACUUACCAAGGGCUUGACAGCAUUCAUUUACAAUUUACUACCUACUGCACAAUGAGCAUAUGUAGUGAAAAGGAAACAAUUUGAAAUUCAGCAAAAUUGUGGGCUUAUGAAUAAUAUAGCAUGAAGAUAAAUAAAGGGAGGGAGGCUAGUGAUUGUUGGUGAAAAGCCUUUGUGAUUAGCCUUUAUACCAUUUUGUGGUUUAUGUGAUAGAGAUUUAUAGUGUAACACUGGCAAUGUUUGUCUUUGGCAUUAAAAAAUACUACUUCAUUAAUAUUCAAAUGCAACCUGAAAAUGUAGCCUACUUUCUAUAGAACAUAAUACAUGUUAAUGUGUACAAUUCAAAUCAAGGAAAAGUGGGUGAUAUCGCCUCUACUUGUGCAUUUGAAAAUGAUUUUCUCCACUCCACCCACCUCUGUCUUAAACAUAUGGAUUAAACACUUUUAGCUAAGUGCCUCUUUAAGCUAAGUGUAUUUAUCUCCUUUACUCUGAGUGUUUUAUGGCUGUUGCCUUUUUAUUUUUCAUUGUAUUUGAAGCACUCUAAGAUUUUACUGCAGAUAAAAUGUUCAUAAACAUAUUUUCUAGACUUUAAGAUGCAUAGUGUGUGUGUGUGUGUGUCUCACUUCUGUAUUGUGCAUCUGGUUAUCACAAACAGGCUGGAGAAGUGUAGAUGUUGCUCUGCAUUCUGGAUCUGUUCCCAUGUCACAACCAUGAUUCGACCAACAAUCUUCCUCUUCUUCACUGUCACGCUUCUUCUGAAAACGAUUCACCACAUCCACUGUGCUGAUGGAGUGAUUGCUUUACCCUCGUCUGGGUCCCGGUGUAUUCAGCACAUUUCCCAGGAAUACAAAGCAAGACAGGAAAGCAAUUCCAAGGCUUCAUGCACAGUACACACAUGACCACACACUGACAUCUAGGGGCAUUUUAAAGUAGCCAAUCCAUCCCACAUCAAGAAUUCUGUGGUGACAGAAAACAAGGAUAUCUAGAAAAAAAAACCAUACAGACACAGGGAGAACUAUACUCUGCACAGACAGUAAUGCAAACCCUGUACCCUGGGGCUUUUAGGAAGCAACCUGCAGUAUGCAUACAGCACAUAUUUUUAUGCAUUUUGUAUGCAUUUCAGUAAUUCCCCAAGCCAAGCCUUCCUCAAAUGUAGUUUAUUUAAUGCCUGCUAGCGGCUUAUCUAGUUAUGCUUGUUUAGUUUGUAAAAUGAAGCUGUCACAUUGCAUACAGUCCCAUUAUCUUUUACUAUAAAUUGUUAUACACACCCAGUGACUAUAGAACUGUUUGCUUUUGAAAUUGUGAUUGAUUUCUAUGCACAUUUCAUUUGAAAGGACACAGGGGUGCUUUAUGACAAACUUACGCUACUGUCGAGCAUACAUAUUGGACAUGAAUAGAUAACAUAUUUAAUUUUUGGCUUUGGCUGGAAUGUGCUGUAUUUUCUGAUGCUAAGAAAGUGAUCCAUUUGGAGUGUGUGUGUGUGUGUGUGUGCCUGUUUACCUGUAUGUCUGUUCAUGUUUGUAUGUGUGAGUUUAUCUGGAACACUGAGUAUAAUAGGAGCUGACGCCUUCCUCCACUGCAAAUGUGUGUGUGUGCGUGCGCGUGUGUUCAGUGGCUCUGAACUAGAGCAGCAGGAGGAGAGCAGCUCAUUACAGCCACCUCACAACUAGCACAAGCACAGCCUAAUCCUUUACACACACACACACACACACACACAAGCCCUGUCAUCACCAGCAGCAUUUGUGCAUUUUUUUGUAUUGUUCUUCUAACAAUGUCACAAAGCUUUUCAGAAAUAUACAAAUUCAGUAUAUAAGUUUAAAUGUAUAAUGUAACACUAAUAAGCAAGCCAGAGGCUUAGAAAGGAAAAACUCCCUGAGACAAUAUGUCUCACUAAAUUAAUUCUAGAAAUUCAUUCUAGUUUUAACAUGAAGUCUAUUUUGUUAGACUGUUCACUGAUGGAAACCUGUUUAGGGCAAUUGUUUUAAGUGCCCAUUGUGAUCCCACUGGCACAAACCUGUUUAGGGCAAUUGUUUUAAAUAUAUCACAGCAACUGUAGUCUUAAGCCAUUGUAACUAUGUGUCUGAGACUGAGAUUUUUUUUAAGAGUCUCUCUCUCUCUCUCUCUCUCUCUCUGUUCUAUUUUUCAAAUAUACAGUUCAACUAUCAUAGGUCUUCAUUAUCUCAGUAACUACACACAUAUUUAAGAACACUGCUGUAAAAUAAAACACACACACACACACAGGUAAUGGAGAUGUAAUAAAGGAAUAUUUUAGCCUCCCCUUAAUUACCGUUUUAAGCAAAUGUUCUAGCAAAGCAAGUACAUCUAUUUAUAGUGCUGAUUUAGCGAUUUAAGUCAUGUAGUUACUGCAGCAACUGCCUUUUGGCAUAAUACCAGCUUCUUUAAUGCCUUACUUUAAUGAACACUUUAAUCUUUUGUAGAGUAAUCAUAGCUUACUACCAAGAUAGUUAGGUAUUUAUAAUCAAAUACUGCUAAUACUAAUACUACUAAAUUGUAUAUAAUGUAUGAAAAUGAUGUAAAUCAUGUGAUACAGCCUUCAUAGUCAGCAGUCCUCAACUCAGCUGAAUACCUCUGAGCUAUUUUAAAGUGACAUGUUAGACAGUGCUCUCCACCAACAGCAUCCAAACAUCAGCUAAGGGAAUAUCUUUUGGAAGAAUGGGGAACGAACUCUACAGUAGAGUUCCAGACAUUUGUAGAAUCGCUGCCAUGCCAAAAUGAAGCUGUUAGUGGAGGCCCAACUUUUUGGAAGUAAACCCUCCCACCCAGACAGCAUAACAAAUUUUGCUCUCUUGACUAAAUUUCAUAAUAAAGAUAUGAAUAAUUACAUUUUAUGAACUCAAAUGAUAAACUGAAUAAAACCAAAAGAUAAGCUAGCUUCAAGUUUAAGAUGUCCGAUCAGUUUCAGUUCAACAAUGCCACCUGGUGAUCCCCUUCACAGGGACAAACUAAAGUCUCCACAAUGUCAGAAUGUUCCUGCAUUCAUAUCAAUAUUAGGCCAUGUGAACCUCACAAAACGCAAAAUACAUGUUUGUGUCAGGGUUGGACUGUAAACACACACACACAAACACAGUCACAAUAACUUGCAAACAUAUGUCAAUAAAUGCUUCGGUUCAAAUGCUGUGCAGCUUCUGCAAUCUCUAAAACAAAUGCCUGUGUGUUUGUGUUUGCACUCAUCUGUUCCCCUCUGAUGGCCAUGACUGUCUGUGUGUUUACUCUCCAGGCCCAUAUACAGGUGUCCGUAAUCAAAGCUGGACGCAAAGAGAGAGGCUGCUAAUGGCAGAAUGAAGAAGGACAAGCACAAUUGCUGCUGGUGUCAACACAAAGACGUUAGGACGUGUGUCUAUGUGUGUGUGCAUGUGCAGUAUGUGUGUGCGGUAUGUGUGUGUUUUUCUCUGUGUGUAAGAGCUGUUUCUCACCUUCAUGGGAAUGAUGUGAUGGAACCUUAGUGCCCCCUUCUGGUGGAAUUUAGCAAAGCAGCCGACACAGUAAUCCUCAGCGCAUUCUGCACACACCUGACCACACACGUGAAAAUGUCAAAUAUGAAAAAUGUUUUUAAAACAGCAACAUUUACAUUGCAAUGGUCAUCAAAAUGUUCACAGAUAUCAAUUUGAUCUUUUAUACUGUUCGACAUAUUCUAGAAUGAGAAACAUAUUGCCUUAGUAUAAGCCUAAUACGAAAAAGAUUUUUUUUAAAUGUGUUGUAUUUUAACAAAGAAAAUACAUGUAAUCAUUGGUAUGAUGAACCUUUCUGAUAGGAGACAGAAGACAAUUGUUAUUUAUGCUUGAAGUUUCAGUGCGAGCUUGUUGUAACAGUCAGUAGGUUUUCCACCACAGGAAAGUCUUCAGGAUGGAGGAUUUUUCUUUUUACUUUCCAUUAAGUAUAAAUAACUGUAUUCCAUUGUGGAUUGUUUUCCUAUAACAGUACAUCUCAUCAUGUGCUAUUUCUAUACAUAUUCAGUAGUCUCUUCCAGGAUGGUUAUGCCCCAAUCCUCAGUGCAAGAUUGGGACUUCAUGGUUUGAUCAAAUAAUUUAUAAAAUGAUCAAUCAUAUGCUGUGAAAUUCACACAGACCAAAACCUGAAACCAAACAGGAGGGAAACUCAAGCUUGUGAUGUGAUUAGACAGCAGCAAGCAAGGUGUAAACACAUACUGCCAAUGAGCCACAACUCUCAGGUGUGUGUGUGUAGGGGGGGUUUGUUUGUGUGUGUGUGUGUGUGUGUGUUGUUAUAAUGAUACAUUAAAAAUCAAGCUAACAAGCAGCAAAAACUUCAUGCAGACUUCAUGCAGGGAAAUAUUUUGCUUUCAUUCUGGCUUGGCCUUAAUAAAUAUUGAAAUGAGGGGAAACACUAGAUGUCUGUAUCUUCAGGGAGCUCAUUAUUUGUUUUGAAAUAGGAAACGAGUGAAGAAGACAAGAUGAGGAAUGUGAUUUGCGACAAGGCCGAAAUUAUUAUAAAAGAAGCAAGCCAAUACCAAACCACCCACCCACCCCUCUCUCUCACUCUCUCUCUCUCUCUCUCUCUCUCUUCAAAAUGAGAAGCUCUGGGCAUCUCAAAUCACACACACACACACACACACACACACAAACAGAUACACACUCAGACAUACUUGUACAUCCCCCACUAAUAAAGCAAACAUAUUAAUAGAGCCAUAAUAAAAGUCAUUUGAACAAUUACAGCAGAAUAUACCAGACCUACAACUGAAGUUAUGGUAAGUAAAUACAGAACAGUUAUAAAAGGUAGAUAACUUUCCUAUAGAGCCAGAGCAUUUAAGCUGAUAAAAUCAUGCAGACUGCAGAUUGAUGCAAUAUGCAUGGAAGAGUGCCCAGUGUGAUCCCAGUCUUUAGAUAUUGAUUAGAUACUGCAUUGAUCUUGUGAUCUGUUGACAUAAAUCAGUAUGUGGAGUGUCAGUGAUUAUUUUCAUUCAUUCAUUCAUUCAUUCAUUCAUUCAUUCAAUCAAUCAUUCAUUCAUUCACUUACUCACCCAUUCAUUCAUCUUCAGUAAUUACUUUAUCCUGAUCAGGGUUGUGGUAGAUCCUGGGAACACUGGGAUGCCAGUCCAUCACAAAGCACAAUGCAUACACACACACAUUUAAAAAGGCAAAAUUUGCAAGCCAAUCCACUGACUGGAGACUGAAAAAGCAAGAGGUAACCAACACAGACAUAGGGAGAAUGUGCACAAAAACUUCAGUAAGCUAUACUUAGAACUAGGGACAACCCUGGAGCUGUAAGGAAACAAUGCUUCCCACUGCAUCACAAUUUCACAGCUUAGAUUUUCUCCUAAGAUUAUUGGAUCAGUGGAUGGAGUUAAAGGUUUGGUUGCAUUCAGAAACCAAGCCUGUGCAUUUUGAAUGGCAAGUGAGACAGCAAAGAAAUGGCAUUAGUCUUAUCGAUAUGAGCAUCUUUACUGACCUUAUAGGCAAUCAUUAAAUUAUCAAAGUGGAGCCCAUUGAUUGCUCCCAAAAAGGCCAGCGAUGAUAAUAGAGUAUAGCUUCCACAGGUUUUAGUAGUUGACUGAAGGAUGAUUUCAACAAGCAAAUGAGAGAAAUGCUAUCUUGGCUCGCAAUGAGAUACAAAACUAAAGCAAUAUGUUAAACAUCAUUUGCUGGACAAUGUUUAUAAAGGGACUGACAAAGUGUUACUGAGGAGAUGGAACUCAAAAGAUUGGUACAAAUUAGCAAUGUUUUCGAAGCACCAGAAUUGUUCCAAACAAGCCGUAAAGAUGACAUUAUAUUAACCUUGAGUGAUCAAACAAGAAAGCAGAAGAAAGAACCUUUAGGGAAAGGUUCAGGGUGUGUGUGUCAUAAAAUGUCCUCUGGCUGGCUCUAUAGGAAUAGAAUUUACAGGAAAUAUUUUAGGGAUAGCAAUAGACAUGCAUAUGUUGUCUUUGUGAUAAUCAUGGAUUCAACUGAAGCAAUCAAUACAGGAGUAGGAAACUGGGUGUAAACUCCAGGAUGGUAGUAGGAGGCUAUUUGUGUGUGACAGAGCACACAGCGGCUUCUCUGGUGUGUGAAAGCAAUGUAUACGUGAUAGCUUUGGAAUGAACAGAAGACAUAUGCUUAGGAGUAUAUAGAGUGCAGGAUCUUAGAGAGAAAGGACAAAAAUUGCUUUUUAAAAGAUUAAAAGUUGGCAAAGCAGUAGAGUGGGAGAUGUUCUCAUGCUGGAGGUGUGAUGUAGUGAUGAUUUAAUGGGCUUGUUGCUAUGGUGAUGUUGGCUAUAGGCUGAGCUACAUGGCUAAACGUUAAGAGGUAGACUAUUAGCAUAAUGCAGUAUAUUCUGUUGGCACUCUUGGGACAAGUGAAAGCAAACAUACAAACUUUUCAAGCUGUGACAUCACUGAAAAUAUGAACAUCAAUCAUAAUAUGUAAAAUUAUACUAUGACUACAAUUAGCAUUUGCUGCAAACCUAACUACUGAGGACCUGCCAUAAUAUCUUGCAAUCCUAAUUCACUAUAGUAAACUAGUGAACACCACAAAACUGCACCAUUAAUGUGAGACCUUCUAAACAAUAUAAACUGAUUUAAUUCUAGCUGGAGGAGGACUAAUUGAAUUGGAUAUUAUAAGAGUCCUUGCGUAAGAAAAAAUAAUGGAAAUGUUUAUUUUUCACAUGCAUUACAUUAUUAAUAUAUUUUUAAAUGAUUCAUUAA
Hemibagrus wyckioides is the source of this 8583-nucleotide long non-coding RNA. RefSeq lists it as uncharacterized. Lineage: Eukaryota; Metazoa; Chordata; Actinopteri; Siluriformes; Bagridae. The transcript has 5 exons. The record is from RefSeq and is a predicted model, not a curated record.